This 79-nucleotide ribosomal RNA is filed under the name Clostridiales bacterium. RNAcentral describes it as "partial 23S ribosomal RNA". It matches the Rfam family "Bacterial large subunit ribosomal RNA", at positions 1 to 79 of the family's 2925-position model. The record is from RNAcentral. Lineage: Bacteria; Bacillati; Bacillota; Clostridia; Eubacteriales.
GGUUAAGUAACUAAGGGCAUGCGGUGAAUGCCUAGGCGCCGGGAGCCGAAGAAGGACGCGGUAAGCUGCGAAAAGCUAC